RNAcentral lists this ribosomal RNA (292 nucleotides) under uncultured bacterium. RNAcentral's name for it is "partial 16S ribosomal RNA". It matches the Rfam family "Bacterial small subunit ribosomal RNA", at positions 505 to 796 of the family's 1533-position model. The record is from RNAcentral.
GUGCCAGCCGCCGCGGUAAUACGUAGGGUGCAAGCGUUAAUCGGAUUUACUGGGCGUAAAGCGUGCGCAGGCGGCUUCGCAAGUCAGGUGUGAAAGCCCCGGGCUUAACCUGGGAAUUGCGCUUGAAACUAUGGAGCUCGAGUGCGGCAGAGGGGGGUGGAAUUCCACGUGUAGCAGUGAAAUGCGUAGAGAUGUGGAGGAACACCGAUGGCGAAGGCAGCCCCCUGGGCCUGCACUGACGCUCAGGCACGAAAGCGUGGGGAGCAAACAGGAUUAGAAACCCUCGUAGUCC